This 972-nucleotide ribosomal RNA is filed under the name uncultured archaeon. RNAcentral describes it as "bacterial SSU rRNA". It matches the Rfam family "Archaeal small subunit ribosomal RNA", at positions 85 to 1058 of the family's 1478-position model. The record is from RNAcentral.
ACUGCUCAGUAACACGUGGACAACCUGCCCUUAGGACGGGGAUAAACCCGGGAAACUGGGUAUAAUACCCGAUAGGUCUCGACUGCUGGAAUGCAUCGAGGUCUAAAGCUCCGGCGCCUAAGGAUGGGUCUGCGGCCUAUCAGGUAGUAGUGGGUGUAGUGUACCUACUAGCCUACGACGGGUACGGGUUGUGAGAGCAAGAGCCCGGAGAUGGAUUCUGAGACACGAAUCCAGGCCCUACGGGGUGCAGCAGGCGCGAAAACUUUACAAUGCUGGAAACAGCGAUAAGGGAACCUCGAGUGCCAGGUUACAAAUCUGGCUGUCGUGAUGCCUAAAAAGCAUUGCAUAGCAAGGGCCGGGCAAGACCGGUGCCAGCCGCCGCGGUAACACCGGCGGCUCGAGUGGUAACCGUUAUUAUUGGGUCUAAAGGGUCUGUAGCCGGCCGGAUAAGUCUCUUGAGAAAUCUGGCAGCUUAACUGUCAGGCUUUCAGGAGAUACUGUCUGGCUCGGGGCCGGGAGAGGUGAGAGGUACUUCAGGGGUAGGGGUGAAAUCUUGUAAUCCUUGAAGGACCACCAGUGGCGAAGGCGUCUCACCAGAACGGACCUGACGGCAAGGGACGAAAGCUAGGGGCACGAACCGGAUUAGAUACCCGGGUAGUCCUAGCCGUAAACGAUACUCGCUAGGUGUCGGCCACGGUGCGACCGUUGUCGGUGCCGUAGGGAAGCCGUGAAGCGAGCCACCUGGGAAGUACGGCCGCAAGGCUGAAACUUAAAGGAAUUGGCGGGGGAGCACCACAACGGGUGGAGCUUGCGGUUUAAUUGGAUUCAACGCCGGAAAUCUUACCGGGACCGACAGCAAUAUGAAGGCCAGGCUGAAGACUUUGCCGGAUUAGCUGAGAGGUGGUGCAUGGCCGUCGUCAGUUCGUACUGUGAAGCAUCCUGUUAAGUCAGGCAACGAGCGAGACCCCCGCC